Molecule: ribosomal RNA, 1059 nt
Filed under: Triticum aestivum (bread wheat)
Lineage: Eukaryota; Viridiplantae; Streptophyta; Magnoliopsida; Poales; Poaceae
Description: partial small subunit ribosomal RNA
Source: RNAcentral
AUGCAAUCCCUCGGGCAUCCCACCUCUGCGUCGGAACUGAGGGCGCUCGCCUGGACGACGCUCCUUGUUCCGAUGUGCGCGGUCUACGCGCGCUCCGCCUGCCGCCGCCUCCGUCCGGGCUGGCCCCGCCUCGCCGCAAUCCUCCCGACGCUCCCCGUCUUCAUCUACCUGCCGUGCUUGUUCAACUCCUACCACCUCCGCCUCUUCUCAACCUUCUUCCACACCUGGCUCGCCGCCAACAAGCUCGUCCUCCUCGCGUUCGACCUCGGCCCGCUCAAGCCAUCCCUGCCCCUCCUCCCAUUUCUCCUCUGCACCGGCCUGCCCAUCAGGCUCCGCGAAGGUCCACAGCCUACCAGCCAUUCUGCGUCGCCGGGACCGUCCGUCGCCGAUUUCCUUGUCCCCUGCGGCCGCAGCGUUCUCUUCCUCACCGGCCUCGCCCUGCUCUUUCCACACACUGGUUCGCUCCCUCUCUACGUCGUCCACUACCUCUACUGCGCACAGAUCUUUCUCACGCUCGAUCUCGUCUUCUCUUCCGUCGGCCUCGUCGCCGCUGCCGUGCUGGGCUCGGCCAUGGAGAGGCAGUUCAGAGCGCCGCUCGUCGUCGCGUCGGUUAACGACUUCUGGGGCCGGCAGUGGAACCUGAUGGCGGUGGACCUCCUCCGAGCGUCGGCGUACAAGCCGGUAAGAGACCGGUGGGGCCGGGACGCCGGCGUGCUGGCCGCGUUCCUCAUGUCGGGCGUCCUCCACGAGCUGCUCUACUGGUACAUGACGCUGGAGCCGCCCACGGGCGAGAUGCUGCUCUUCUUCACGCUCCAGGCCGCUUUCCACGUCGCCGAGCGGUGGGCGAGGGUUGCCGGGCUGUGGCGACCGCCCAAGGCGGCGGCGUACCUUAUUGGCACCACCUUUAUGGUCGUCACCAUAUCGGAGCUCUUCUUCGGGCCGUUCAUCAGAGCCGGCACAGACGUGCGUAUGAUUCAGGAGGCCGCCGACGCGGUGGGGUUGGUUAGGGCCGUCGCUAAGCGUCUCAUCGUCCGUCUAUUUGGGGAUGCUUCGAGUUAG